RNAcentral lists this ribosomal RNA (332 nucleotides) under uncultured bacterium. RNAcentral's name for it is "bacterial SSU rRNA". It matches the Rfam family "Bacterial small subunit ribosomal RNA", at positions 568 to 898 of the family's 1533-position model. The record is from RNAcentral.
CGCGUAGGCGGGCGCGUACGGCGGUGGUGAAAGCUCCUGGCUCAACUAGGAGAGGCCCAUCGCAACGGCGUGUCUCGAGGGUGGUAGAGGCGGAUGGAAUUCCAGGUGUAGCGGUGAAAUGCGUAGAGAUCUGGAGGAACACCCGUGGCGAAGGCGGUCCGCUGGGCCAUGCCUGACGCUGAAGCGCGAAGGCCAGGGGAGUGAACGGGAUUAGAUACCCCGGUAAUCCUGGCGGUAAACGAUGGAUACUAGGUGUCAGUGGUAUCGACCCUACUGGUGCCGUAGCUAACGCGAUAAGUAUCCCGCCUGGGGAGUACGGCCGCAAGGUUGAA